AUUAAUUAAAGAACUUUUUCUGAUUUUCAGUUGGUAAACUAGUUGGAUGUUUCUGUGCUAUAACUGGGGUGUUAUUUAUAGCCUUACCUGUUCCGGUGAUUGUCUCGAAU
Paramuricea clavata is the source of this 110-nucleotide non-coding RNA. The record is from the annotation of a GenBank genome assembly. NCBI's taxonomy places the organism in Eukaryota, Metazoa, Cnidaria, Anthozoa, Malacalcyonacea, Plexauridae.